This 262-nucleotide ribosomal RNA is filed under the name uncultured bacterium. RNAcentral's name for it is "partial 16S ribosomal RNA". It matches the Rfam family "Bacterial small subunit ribosomal RNA", at positions 515 to 776 of the family's 1533-position model. The record is from RNAcentral.
CCGCGGUAAUACGAAGGGGGCUAGCGUUGUUCGGAAUUACUCGGCGUAAAGGGCGCGUAGGCGGUCCUGAUCGUCGGAUGUGAAAGGCCUGGGCUCAACCUGGGAACUGCAUCCGAUACGGCGGGACUGGAGUGUGGGAGAGGUUGGUGGAAUUCCCAGUGUAGAGGUGAAAUUCGUAGAUAUUGGGAAGAACACCGGUGGCGAAGGCGGCCAACUGGACCACAACUGACGCUGAGGCGCGAAAGCGUGGGGAGCAAACAGG